Molecule: ribosomal RNA, 445 nt
Filed under: uncultured bacterium
Lineage: Bacteria
Description: partial 16S ribosomal RNA
Rfam family: Bacterial small subunit ribosomal RNA
Source: RNAcentral
GUGAGGAAUAUUGGUCAAUGGACGAGAGUCUGAACCAGCCAAGUCGCGUGAAGGAAGACGGUUCUAUGAAUUGUAAACUUCUUUUGUGCAGGAAUAAAGUGGGUUACGUGUAACCUUUUGUAUGUACUGUACGAAUAAGGAUCGGCUAACUCCGUGCCAGCAGCCGCGGUAAUACGGAGGAUCCGAGCGUUAUCCGGAUUUAUUGGGUUUAAAGGGUGCGUAGGUGGAUUGAUAAGUCAGCGGUGAAAGUUUGCAGCUUAACUGUAAAAUUGCCGUUGAAACUGUCGGUCUUGAGUGCAAAUGAGGUAGGCGGAAUGUGUUGUAUAGCGGUGAAAUGCUUAGAUAUAACACAGAACUCCGAUUGCGAAGGCAGCUUACUGGGAUGCAACUGACACUGAUGCACGAAAGCGUGGGUAUCAAACAGGAUUAGAUACCCGAGUAGUCC